Molecule: ribosomal RNA, 253 nt
Filed under: uncultured prokaryote
Description: partial 16S ribosomal RNA
Rfam family: Bacterial small subunit ribosomal RNA
Source: RNAcentral
UACGGAGGGUGCAAGCGUUAUCCGGAUUCACUGGGUUUAAAGGGUGUGUAGGCGGGCUGUUAAGUCAGUGGUGAAAUCUCCGGGCUCAACCCGGAAACUGCCAUUGAUACUAUCAGUCUUGAAUCUUGUUGAGGUAGGCGGAAUAUAUCAUGUAGCGGUGAAAUGCAUAGAUAUGAUAUAGAACACCGAUUGCGAAGGCAGCUUACUAAAUAAGCAUUGACGCUGAGGCACGAAAGCGUGGGGAUCAAACAGG